Molecule: non-coding RNA, 114 nt
Organism: Dracunculus medinensis (Guinea worm)
Lineage: Eukaryota; Metazoa; Nematoda; Chromadorea; Rhabditida; Dracunculidae
Source: Rfam
CUAGGUUACGGUGAUAUGGUACCAGCAACAAUUAUGGGUAAAAUUGUAGGGGGAGUUUGUUCGCUUAGUGGUGUACUCGUUAUUGCACUUCCAGUGCCUGUAUGUUUAUUUUGU